Molecule: microRNA precursor, 104 nt
Filed under: Marmota monax (woodchuck)
Lineage: Eukaryota; Metazoa; Chordata; Mammalia; Rodentia; Sciuridae
Source: RNAcentral
ACAACAAUAUCUUUAAAAUCUUUUUAAAUUGCAGAUUAUGAUUUAAUAGUUCUGUAGAGUGGCUGAAAUUCUGUAUUUCUAACAAGUUCCAAGGGGAUGAUGAU